Polyodon spathula (Mississippi paddlefish) is the source of this 1652-nucleotide long non-coding RNA. RefSeq lists it as uncharacterized. The record is from RefSeq and is a predicted model, not a curated record. Lineage: Eukaryota; Metazoa; Chordata; Actinopteri; Acipenseriformes; Polyodontidae. The transcript is spliced from 3 exons.
UUUUUGUUUUUUUUAAAGACUUGGAUUAUUAAAGCAAAAAAGACAAACAGAUACUUUCUUCCAGGAUCCAAACGAAAUUCAGUGCAGAAUGUCUUCCGAAAACUGCCGAAAAAACAAUUCUAUGCCAGAUCUAUCUAACAAGGUCGCUUUUUGUUAAAGAAAAUUCAACCUCAAAAAUACGUCCUUCUUCCGCUAAACUGUCAACACCACUAAACUGCCCGCCAACUUACAGCACAGGAAUCCGCACAAAAUGUUACGUCACAACGCCGGCCUGACGUGCCUCGUUUCCCUGGAGACGGUGUACAGUGCUAGCGGCCUGUUCAGUUCCCGUCCCCAGAGUUUUACACAUCGCCCCUUCCCAGCUUGAGAAAAUGGUUCUGUAGUUUUAGUUCCGGCAAGUUUUAAAGCAGCAUAUUGUUCCACAGUAGACGCAGAUUUAAGGGGGGGGAGGGGGGGUUGUCAACCGGGACAUUUGUCCAGGACACUGAGCUGUCGAGGGGGCCCGCAGCCCAGGUUAAAAUAAAUACAUAAAUAAAAAUGUCUAUUUUCCAGUUUAAAAUCCAACCCGCUUGCCUGUGAUCGCGCUGCUAAACACUGGAAUCUCUUACUGGCCACGCGCACGCUGGAGGACGCGAGAGAGCGUGAGAGACAGAGCGCGAGAGGGAGACUAACAGAAAACAAUUGAAAAACUUUGCGGCGCAGCGAAACAAACAAACAAAACAAAAACUCAAAUUUCGGUUUAAAAUCCUAUAAAAAUGAAGUAACGACAACACCAAAUGAACCCGAACAACUGGUCAACGAGAGUUUUGGCGGCGCUACGGUUCCAAAUAACGGGCCUGAAGAGUCAGACAGUAAGGAGGAGUCGUUGCCGGUCUGCUCACAGCGGCAAUUAACGAGCAAGGUAACUUCAAUCUGCCUUUCGCUUUAACCCACAGACUCGUGGGAUAACAUUCUGGAGAGAGUCGACAAAACUACAAAAUCCAUUGAAGCACAAAACAUCGAACUGUCAGUGAAGAUUCAUCCCGGCCUUUGCCAAAAUCAUCGCUCCUCUAAAUGAUCUUUUGAGUGGGACUGCUGCUUUGUGGAAGAAGAUUGCAGUUGUGGAAUAGAACCCCCAGUGUCAAUCCACUUUUGAAGAGUUGAAAACAGCGCUUACUGCCGGUGGAGCGGGAAGCAGGUGUUGCCCCACCCCAGUACAGGUAUCACUGCUGGAGGAUGAAGGGACACCCCCGCGUAGUGGAGAAACUGAAGAACAGGAGCCAGACUUCCCAAGGGGUACGUGGCAGCAGCAGGACCAGGCAGUAAAAAGGGUUCGGACGUGGUGGGAACAGGGGACUCUGCUGGAGACCUCGGCUCAGGGAACGGUGUCAUCGGAAGCCCGGAGGCUUUUAUAAGAAUGGGACCGGUUACAAAUGGAAGGAGGCGUUCUGGUAAGGAAGGAGGACCGAACCAGGGAUGGAGAGCUGCAGAUGCAGAUUGUGGUCCCCCGCAGCCAGGGACAACUUGUCUGGAAGAGGUACCACGAGUCUUUUGGACACGUUGCCAGCACUAAGAUCCUGUCAGUGUUGAGACAGAGGUUUUACUGGUAUGGUAUAAUAAAUAAUAAUCUUUAUUUUUAUAUAGCGUCUUUCGUAGUGGACCACCAUCACAAA